AGAGUUUGAUCAUGGCUCAGAUUGAACGCUGGCGGCAGGCCUAACACAUGCAAGUCGAGCGGUAACAGGAGUGCUUGCACUCGCUGACGAGCGGCGGACGGGUGAGUAAUGCCUAAGAAUCUGCCUAGUGGUGGGGGAUAGCCCGGGGAAACUCGGAUUAAUACCGCAUACGCCCUACGGGGGAAAGCAGGGGAUCUUCGGACCUUGCGCUAUUGGAUGUGCCUAUGUCGGAUUAGCUAGUUGGUGGGGUAAAGGCCUACCAAGGCGACGAUCCGUAGCUGGUCUGAGAGGAUGAUCAGCCACAUCGGGACUGAGACACGGCCCGAACUCCUACGGGAGGCAGCAGUGGGGAAUAUUGGACAAUGGGGGCAACCCUGAUCCAGCCAUGCCGCGUGUGUGAAGAAGGCUUUCGGGUUGUAAAGCACUUUCAGUGAGGAGGAAAAGUUGGUCGUUAAUACCGGCCAGCCUUGACGUUACUCACAGAAGAAGCACCGGCUAACUCCGUGCCAGCAGCCGCGGUAAUUC
Molecule: ribosomal RNA, 525 nt
Filed under: uncultured bacterium
Lineage: Bacteria
Description: bacterial SSU rRNA
Rfam family: Bacterial small subunit ribosomal RNA
Source: RNAcentral